GAUCAUGGCUCAGGAUGAACGCUAGCGACAGGCCUAACACAUGCAAGUCGAGGGGCGGCGAAGAGGUAGCAAUACCUUUGUCGGCGACCGGCGCACGGGUGAGUAACACGUAUGCAAUCCACCUGUAACGGGGGGAUAACCCGGAGAAAUCCGGACUAAUACCCCAUAAUAUGGGCGCUCCGCAUGGAGAGCCCAUUAAAGAGAGCAAUUUUGGUUACAGACGAGCAUGCGCUCCAUUAG
Molecule: ribosomal RNA, 240 nt
Filed under: uncultured bacterium
Lineage: Bacteria
Description: partial 16S ribosomal RNA
Rfam family: Bacterial small subunit ribosomal RNA
Source: RNAcentral